Molecule: long non-coding RNA, 909 nt
Organism: Aedes albopictus (Asian tiger mosquito)
Lineage: Eukaryota; Metazoa; Arthropoda; Insecta; Diptera; Culicidae
Exons: 2
Source: RefSeq, a predicted model, not a curated record
GCACUCUAAAGAAUUUUCACGUCCGAUUUACGUGAAACAUCACGUAGCUCAACCUUAUUCUCAAAACUUCAUAAGUUACGUGACAUUAGUAACCUUCACUCGAUAACUACGUCGUGUGCACCAUCCUGAUUGGUGGAAUCCACCUGGUUUUCACGUAAAUCGUUUCAAUGCGUUGGUAUUAGUGUACUUCCGACUUGGAAGUUUUCGCGAAACGAAAGUUACGUGAAAUUCAGGUGUGAAAAAAAAAUCAAUAUGGCGCCGUGAAAUAGGUUCGUGUGAAAGCUAGCUGGUUGCUCAAGUGCUUGCUGAUGUAGAGUUUACAAAUUUGCAAAGACUGAACGCUAAUUAAAUUGCAAGCUCGACGGAGGACCAGUUCAGCGAGUGUUUGGAAUCGCUGGACUACGGAGGCUAUGCGACAAAUCUAGUUUAGUUGAAAUUAUCAAAUUUUGGAAGAUCAGUUAUAAAACAUACUGUUGUUUUACAAUUGUAGAUUAAUGAAUUAGUCCAAAUCAAAAGACCGAAAGAUUUAUCCUUUAAUUGUUAUAUAUUUGUAUGUACCAGCUUGUAGCGUAUUUAAGGAGGCAUGAGUUUUUAAAUCCCUAUAAAAUGCAAUGACAUAUUUAACGGUAGGUAAAAUCUGCAUUGCAUUUUGUAAUGAUUUUAAAUCUCUUGCCUCUUCAAAUACGUUGCAAGCUGGUGCGGUUGCUCUACUUUCAUUCAAAAAUCAUACAUAAAUAACGUGAUCUUCAUGUAGAAUUAAUCACAUUUUCACGUGAAAUUUUCCUUAAAUUCCGGUAGUUCUCACCUACAUUUCACGUAAACGAUACGUAGACUUAUGUCAAAUUUACCUGACUCAUCACGUCAAUUAGCAAAACCCAAAUAUUUCCAGCUACCUGAAACUCCGGUGAA